GACGAACGCUGGCGGCGUGCUUAACACAUGCAAGUCGAACGGAAAGGCCCUGCUUUUGUGGGGUGCUCGAGUGGCGAACGGGUGAGUAACACGUGAGUAACCUGCCCUUGACUUUGGGAUCACUUCAGGAAACUGGGGCUAAUACCGGAUAGGAGCUCCUGCUGCAUGGUGGGGGUUGGAAAGUUUCGGCGGUUGGGGAUGGACUCGCGGCUUAUCAGCUUGUUGGUGGGGUAGUGGCUUACCAAGGCUUUGACGGGUAGCCGGCCUGAGAGGGUGACGGGACACAUUGGGACGGAGCUACGGCCCAGACUCCUACGGGAGGCAGCAGUGGGGAAUAUUGCACAAUGGGCGGAAGCCUGAUGCAGUAACGCCGCGUGCGGGAUGACGGCCUUCGGGUUGUAACCCGCUUUCGCCUGUGACGAAGCGUGAGUGACGGUAAUGGGUAAAGAAGCACCGGCUAACUACGUG
RNAcentral lists this ribosomal RNA (468 nucleotides) under uncultured bacterium. RNAcentral's name for it is "partial 16S ribosomal RNA". It matches the Rfam family "Bacterial small subunit ribosomal RNA", at positions 28 to 507 of the family's 1533-position model. The record is from RNAcentral.